This 20900-nucleotide long non-coding RNA is filed under the name Triticum aestivum (bread wheat). RNAcentral's name for it is "long non-coding RNA (TAES_LNC021053)". Lineage: Eukaryota; Viridiplantae; Streptophyta; Magnoliopsida; Poales; Poaceae. The record is from RNAcentral.
GUGCCCGUCACCCCGUCCCGUCUCUCUCCCUCAACUGAAUCAACUUCUUUAAGUAACUAAAAAUGGCGGUGGCAAUGGCGCAGGCAUCAUCAAGGGAACCAUGACCACAACCCACUCCUACACCGGCGACCAGAGGCUGCUGGACGCGAGCCACCGCGACCUGCGCCGUGCCCGUGCCGCCGCGCUCAACAUCGUGCCCACCUCCACCGGCGCGGCCAAGGCCGUGGCGCUGGUGCUGCCCAACCUCAAGGGCAAGCUCAACGGGAUCGCGCUCCGGGUGCCCACCCCCAACGUGUCCGUCGUCGACCUCGUGGUGCAGGUCUCCAAGAAGACCCUCGCCGAGGAGGUGAACCAGGCGUUCCGCGACGCCGCCGCCAACGAGCUCAAGGGCAUCCUCGACGUCUGCGACGAGCCGCUCGUGUCCGUCGACUUCAGGUGCUCCGACGUGUCCUCCACCAUCGACGCGUCGCUCAGCAUGGUCAUGGGAGACGACAUGGUCAAGGUCAUCGCGUGGUACGACAACGAGUGGGGUUACUCCCAGAGGGUCGUCGACCUCGCCGACAUCGUCGCCGACCAAUGGAAGUGAACGCCGGACGGCGGCAUUAUUGCCCUGUGAAGUGACUCCUCUCGAAAUUUUCCCCAGCCAUCGUCACGGAUGAUCGAUUCUUUGUAAUGAGAAUUCGAAGUAUCGAGCUCCCAACAGCUUCUUUUUUUUCCUUUCUUUUCUUGUUCUUCUUUUUUCUUUCUCUGAUUUUUCAGUGUCCAGACACGGAUUAUAAUAGACUUCCUGCAAAGGAAGUCUCAACGCUGUGCAUCUGUAAUAUAUACUAUCGUUUGCCAGGUUCUGAUGUAGAAUUCAACUUGUUCUUCGAACAUUUCCAUCGUUUUGACCUUUACUGCUAUCUAAACAUGCAUGAUCAACUCAGGAAGAAAAGUUUGAACCAUACACGAAAGUUACCAUAAAAUGAAAAGUUUGAACUUCUGAUGGCAAUUGCAAAAUUAAAGGGAGCACAACCAUGCAGCCCAUUAUCAGAGUUUUUAUUUCAUUUGUGCGAAAACUCAUUAUCAGAGUUGUCCACACAAACUGACUCACAAGAUAAGAGAUUGCGAUCUGCGCGCCGAGUCUAGGUGGAUGAUGGCAUGAACUACUUAGAGAGUAGACCCACAACUUUUGUGGGUCGUAUUUUCAUUGGACAUCAUGGUUCACAUGUUUGCCAUCCUAUAUGCUUGGUGCCAAUCAGUGUGUGAGUGGUCAAGAAUACAUGGAACUCAUCAGGGAUAGAUAUUGCAGACCAUACAAUGCACAGACCACAGAGGGUGUCUUUCCACUCUGAAGCAUUCAGAUGGAUCAAAACAUCUCGAAUCUCUAUACCCAAAUGGCCCGUGUUUAACUUGAUAGAAUCAAGAUAUUUAGAAUUCAGAGUUGAGCUCUCUCUACUCAAUGCCCCAUGAUAAGACAUACUGUAUGCAGUAUUUAUCGAUGAAAUAGCAAGUACUAAGAACCAUUCAAGUAAAUUCUAGUAGAAGCUAACAUGAUAUAUUGAACUUCAACCAGGGUUCUUUGGAUGACACUUCAUACGCUAAGUGCUAGACUGAUAGCAUUUUCAGCAACAAAAAAUAACUACUCUAAAGGAAAAUUCAGAUACUAGUUUUCGCUCAAGGAAAGUGCAUUCCUGAUUCCUUUGCAGAACACCUUUUUACCGUCCCUGCUUCAACCGCUGCCAUUGAAAAGGUUCCAAUCAUGUACAUCGAAGUUCAUCACUGCAAGUCUGAAGACCUCCGACAUUGGCAAGCAUCCUGCUUGUUCUGCGGGUACUGCUGGUCCAGCUGCAACUGCCUGGGCACUUUCACUCAAAGGACUGAAAUAAAAAUGACAGAAAAAUAUAUCAUUCAAGGGGUAGCCUGUAACAUUGUAGAAGUGGGCAGCACAAACAUAAUACCCGAGCAUAAAAAUCAAGGCAUCGUACCUAGCUAGUUGUUAACUUGGAUAUGUAAGUCCAUACUAAUUUUACUUGCUUUCACUCAGAUCUAAUACGACUAUCUCCACAUUACUUGUGAUGCAUCAUUAUACUGUUUCAUCUGCAUUUCAGCUGAAAAGUAUAAAAUCUAGUUUUGGCAUUGUGGUCUCCCCAUAGUACUAUUAUAGCACUCAACAUGACUAGCCUAGGUAGAAAACUGAAGUAACUACAUGAGGCCCUGAGCAAAAGAGGCUUCUGUUUCAUCAACCGAGAAGGUUUUUUGUUUCAUAUUUUAGUUCUGCCAUUGACCAUACUACUACGAUAAUACAAUUUUAUUCAACGUGUGUAGCCUAGAUAAUGAACUGAAAAAAAUUGAGCAGGGCAGGAUUGUCAUUCUGAAUUAUAAAGAUGACAGAGACAAGGGAGUUUAAAACCCACAUGAUUAGUAAGCAUAAUUGCUACUGCAUAAGAAGUUAUUGAUUGUCAUUCAAACAUGUCGAUAUAGAUCAGAUUUAUGCAAGUUCAGAUUAUACCAAAUAAUACAUAGUUCUCCUAAGCACUGUAUAAUAAUCAAGUCAUACAAAGAUUGAUAAAUGGUGAUAAAUAGUACUAGCUAUGAUGAUAAAUCUGAACAAGACUUUCUACUUGAGAAGGUAAUUUUUUUAAUAAAAGAUUGGUUCAUAAAAUUUCAUUAAUCAGAGGAAGUAUGUCAUAGUGAUCUGCUAAGCUUACUUUAUCACGAGCGGCUUGUAUGCGGUGAUCAGGGNNNNNNNNNNNNNNNNNNNNNNNNNNNNNNNNNNNNNNNNNNNNNNNNNNNNNNNNNNNNNNNNNNNNNNNNNNNNNNNNNNNNNNNNNNNNNNNNNNNNNNNNNNNNNNNNNNNNNNNNNNNNNNNNNNNNNNNNNNNNNNNNNNNNNNNNNNNNNNNNNNNNNNNNNNNNNNNNNNNNNNNNNNNNNNNNNNNNNNNNNNNNNNNNNNNNNNNNNNNNNNNNNNNNNNNNNNNNNNNNNNNNNNNNNNNNNNNNNNNNNNNNNNNNNNNNNNNNNNNNNNNNNNNNNNNNNNNNNNNNNNNNNNNNNNNNNNNNNNNNNNNNNNNNNNNNNNNNNNNNNNNNNNNNNNNNNNNNNNNNNNNNNNNNNNNNNNNNNNNNNNNNNNNNNNNNNNNNNNNNNNNNNNNNNNNNNNUGAUAACUACAUCAGUUGCUGCAUUCUUGAGACGUAUGUUUGCCAAGUAAAGCUGCAAAGGUAGCCCAAUGCUCAGUUGAAAAAGCAAACAUUAACUGUUGAACCAUAAUUCCAAGGGAUGGGUGUACUCACCCGAACAAUGUUCUGUGCUUCUCUGCCUUGCCUCCCUUUUGAAACAGCCUACAGAUGCCGAAAUCAAGCGUGAGAUCCUUAAGUAAAUUUUAUUCACUGCCGGUGUGAAGUGGCCAUCAUAUAAUGAAUGCCAAGGAACAGAAAUAUCAAAUUAUGAGACUGAGCUGACUUGUGCAAUUAAAGGUAUCAUAUCCAGGGAAGCACAGGUGGAAACUAAUCAACUGGAGGUCGAUUGAAGGCAAGGAGCAGGGUAAUCUGGAUAUGGCACAGGACGUUUGCUUACCAGCUUGCCAAUUGCAGUUCCAGCCACUGCAGGUGCUUCGCCGGAGCGCAGACCAGCUAGCUCAACUGUCCCAGAGUGCUCGACCACCUAACCGACAAAAAAAGAGGUAAGUUACCAACAUGAGUAAAAUCCACUUGGAUCGGAAAUUUAACAACCGUGAGUUCAUGACCAUUCAAUGCACAUGAAGCAGGCAAAGAAUUCGUGAGUACAGCUGCUUUUAUUGUCGAAAGAAGAAUACGGUUGUUUUGGACAGAAAGCCAAGCAGGGAGAACUGUUGUUUAAUGGCAAUGAAUCGAAAUUUAUAGGGCCAAGUGGCCAAGCUAUUCACAGAGUGAAGCCAGGACAUUACCAGGUUACUAGUAGAAUGCCCGUGCGUUGCCACGGACAUCUAAAAUAUUCUGCCAUAACACAUGUUAAAUUUUACACGCUAAUGGCAGUUAAUAUUUUUAAAACAUCAUCCAAAUCCAUCACUUCUUAUCUCCGACAAACAAAACUGGAAUAAAAAUUUUACUACAUUAUAUAAGUAUAUAUUGUAUAGUAUAUGAAAACAAAUUUGAGACUAACACAACUGAUUUUAUUUGCAAAAAAUGGCUAUCCGAAAUUACAUAUAAAUAUAUAAACAUAUAUAAAUGAUAUUUUAUAUUAAUAAACAUAAGGAAAAAUAAAUUAUUUUUCACAUACCUAGUUUUUAGCUUACCUACCCUGCGUACCACCUCAACCACUCUCUCACCGCACGCACCCCUCCCUCUCUCACCCUCCCACUCCUUCUCUCCGUCAUGACGUUGCCCCCGCUAUCCCUCUCCGCCACGAUGUCCUGGCCGCCACAUCUUCCCCCUGGCAUGUCCCUGCCUCCUCCCUUCCAUGCUCAUCGGCACCUCCCAACCCCUCCAUUGAGAUCUCGCCCGCCUUCUCCACUCCCCGCCAUGUGUCCGGGUGAGCAGCCGGUUCCGACCGCCGUCAAGCCGUGCCGUCGAUCUGGCCAUCCCAGGCCGAUUUUCGGUGCCAACAACAAGCGAGCCGCACCAUCGAUCUGCCAUCCUAGGCCGAUUUCUGGUGCCGAGGGCGUCGCGUUCCCCCUCCAAGCUGCACGGCGACAGGGCUCUUCCGCCAUCCACUAACUGCCGCUCGCCGCUCCAAGUAGUAGGCGCCAACACUGAGAGAGUCUGGCUGGGCCUCCACUCCAGCAGACAGGUCCACACAAAUUUCUUGCAAUACAUUAAAUGCUUACAUCGUUUUUCAAGUAGACAUUAGUUUGUUAGCUUAUGCUCGUGCAUUGCCAUGGGUUAAAACUUCAAAUUAUGCAAACAUUUCAUUGUGUUGUCGAUAAGAAAAGUAAGAUACAUACGUACACUAUUUGUCGUUGGUAAAUCUCUCGUUCUUCAACACCAACGCAACAAGAAUACAAACGUUGAUCUAUUAGUGAUCCCCGCCUCUCCAACCAUUAAAAUACCGCUCCUUGUUAUCUUGGUUUUUUACGUUACUUACCAGAUCUGGUGGUGUUCCGUCGGAUCUUGCACAUCCUCUCCCGUCCGCUCGUCUCCGACCGGUGAGAGGCAUUGCCGCAUUGGUAGUUGGUCACAUUUUGGCUGAUUGUCUGGUCGUCGGCCGCGAUGGGGUUUCAUCCCUGGUGGUUGAUGCGUGUUCCCCAUAUGGCAACAAGAAUACAAACNNNNNNNNNNNNNNNNNNNNNNNNNNNNNNNNNNNNNNNNNNNNNNNNNNNNNNNNNNNNNNNNNNNNNNNNNNNNNNNNNNNNNNNNNNNNNNNNNNNNNNNNNNNNNNNNNNNNNNNNNNNNNNNNNNNNNNNNNNNNNNNNNNNNNNNNNNNNNNNNNNNNNNNNNNNNNNNNNNNNNNNNNNNNNNNAGAAUACAAACAUUGAUCUAUUAGUGAUCCCCGCCUCUCCAACCAUUAAAAUACCGCUCCUUGUUAUCUUGGUUUUUUACGUUACUUACCAAAUCUGGUGGUGUUCUGUCGGAUCUUGCACACCCUCUCCCGUCCGCUCGUCUCCAACCGGUGAGAGGCAUUGCCGCAUUGGUAGUUGGUCACGUUCUGGCUGAUUGUCUGGUCGUCGGCCGCGAUGGGGUUUCAUCCCUGGUGGUUGAUGCGUGUUCCCCAUAUGGCCCCUCCUCUUUGGCCUGGGUGACAGUAUAAUUUUCUUUGAAUGGUCGCAAGGUUGAAACAAUUCUAUCGAACAAAAAAAGCAUUUCAAAUAAUAUGACCACAAUGUAAUUGUGUAUUAACCUAUGCCAAUAUGGUAAAAAUGAGGCCUACAAAACAAACUAUAAUGGCAAAAUAUAAGUUAGCAACUUAGCAUUGCUCCCAAAAUUACCGGGUAAGGCCAAAGCUUUAAUCGUUACCCUGUGCAUGGAGGCCCUCUACUAUCAUUAGAACAAUUAAUUCUUGGAAGGAAUGUCAUAUACUUUCCUAUAGAAUAAUAAUAAAAUAUUUAUGUUGCACAGAAAAAAUUUAUUUGGAAAAUAACUCACACUCUGAUAUAUGAGUAUUAGAAAUAAACCAGCACCUCGGAUUACAGUGUUGUAGAUUGUGAUAUGGUGAUGAAUAUGUGUUGAUAGAUCAGCGUCCAAGGAAAGUUGUGUGAUUUGUAUGCCUUCAGAAACCAUUAUAUCAAGAUACCUAGGAUUACAAUUAUUUCUCAAACAGAGAAAAGGAAAUUAAACCAUGUAAGACAUCUCUAGCAUAAGACAUCCUACCUCUAGCAUAAGACAUAGAGGUAGGAAAUGUAUAACAAUGUUGCAUAAAAAGCAAAAUACAUAGCGCCAUAUGAAUAGUAUAGUAGGAUCCCAAGCUUGUAACUGUUUUUUUUGGAAAUGGAGGUAGCCCCGGCCUCUGCAUCAUGAUGAUGCAUGCGUCCCUCUUAUUAAAAAUCCAGAAAGUAUCAUCGUAAAGGUCUUACAGCUCGCAAACGGAGCAAAACAGAGCCGGAGGGCAUGUGGUCUCAAAUCCUACGCAAUAAGUAUUUACGCUCGAAAACGCUAGCCCAGGUUACCAUCAGACCGACUGAUUCACCGUUCUGUAAGGGACUUACGAGAACGAAGGUACAAUUACAAAACUAUUUCAUGCAAGCAAUUGAUAACCCUCACAUGAAGUUAUCACAAUUAAAUGUUCAAUUCAAAACUUCACACCAUGGCCAUAGUUAGCACCUAUAGUUCUUGCAGAACUACACAAUACAGCUGGUUGUCUAGAUUUCAGAAUUGAACAUUCAAUUAGUGAGUAAGAUUUAUAAACUCCUCUGUGAAAUGAAUUGCAGAAAACGGCAGACUACAGUGCUCUACAACAUAAACCAGCUUCACGACACAAACUAUACAAUCCCCGGAUUCGUACCAGUCCUUACGAAACCCUCGCUUAAUGGCCGAAUUAACUCACGUGUGUAUUUGAGCAAUUCGGAUUAAAAGAAAAUAUUCACUAAAUACCCCUGAUUCCAACUCAUGAGCAUCUAAAAGGUCCUAGAAUUAACAGGCUUCAAUUGGCUUGUUAUGGUUAACGAAUUACCCCUAAGAUCUGAACCCUAGCAUCACCAAGUAAAUAGAUUUGAGAUGGCAAACUCAGACGGGGACAGAUCCGAGACAUGGGCAGCAUCAGCAGUGUACCGGCAUGCGCUGAGAUUUCUGUGCAUCGGAAUUAACCAGACUGUCGGACACGUUAGGCCGUCGUCCCGUCCGUGGAAGGUGUGCUUGCCGACGGCGUUGGGUGAUCGAGCGAGGGAGCCAAACACAAAGCUCAGAUCUCUGUUGGGUCACGUCGAGCACCUUUGUGCCAUGGAGAAAGUGCCGACUGCCGCUCGCGGAGCGCGUUGACGUCAUAGAACUGCAGAAAAAGCGGUGUACAACAGGAUACAUCAGGCAGAGUGCUGACCUUGCCGUUGAUGGAAUACCAUCAUAUGUCGGGUCCAACACGGCCUAUGUCACCUUGACCACGCCGACUUUGCACCACCACCAUGGCAGAACACAUGCCUCGACGAGGUGCUCCAUGGCCACUGUCCUGGACGCCAGGGAGACCGCGACAGACCACAUGCCUCGAUGAGGUGCACCAAGCUUCUAUUCGGAAGCAACUAGGUUGAUGCGUUCAUGUAAUGUUCGCGCGCCAGACUGUGCCGCUAGCAGCCCAACCACCCGGCGGAGCAGCGUCGGGGCGAGGCCUACUGCACGCUCCACCCUAGGAUCUGAAACACGAAUGCAGGCACGUGCCUAGCUUGGCAAGGCAACCAGCACCAUGAAAUUUAAGUAGUGAGCCUCUCUCGCCGCCGCCGAAGUCGAGGUGGAUGCCGAUGAGCCUGCCCUUGACUACUUUCCCUCACCGCAUGCUACACGGUCACUCCGCCUUGUCACCUCGCUGCCACCUCCUCGCCACCAUAGCUGCCAUCCUCGGCCAUCGACAGGCAUCCAACCAGUCUGCUCCGAUGAAAGGGAGAUAGAGAUGGAGCAUCAUCAUGGCUAGAGUUUCAGAAACAAAGAAACGUGAAGGGGUGGGCUUUAGAAAAGUUGGGAUCGCUACACCCGGAAACAAAUUGUAAUUGUUGAGCCAGAUGGGAUACGAGGGGAUCUCUGCUGAUGCGAGAGAGAUUGAGAUGGAGCAUCGUGGCUAGAGUUUCAAAAAAAAGGAAACGGGAAGGGAUGGGAUUUAGGAAAUUUAGGAUCGCCACAUAUAUGGAAACAAAUCGCAAUAUUUGAGCCGGAUGGGAUACGACGGAAUUAGCGGUGAGGGUGUCGAGGCUUUGUUAGAUGGAGCGAACGAACGAAACGACGUACGGACUCCUCCAUUAGGAGUAGAGAUGGAAACAAAUCUCAAUAUUUGAGCCAGAUGGGAUACGACGGAAUUAGCGGUGAGGGUGUCGAGGCUUUGUUAGAUGGAGCGAACGAACGAAACGACGUACGGACUCCUCCAUUAGGAGUAGAGAUCACCCGCAUCUUGCUCGUUGGCGACGUCGCGCAGGAACCAGAGCGCGCUGCCGCCAUCCUCCACCUCGCCCUUGAGGUCGAGCAGCUCGAAGAUGAGGCUCUCUUCACGGGCGGGAUUGACGAAAACUUCCUGGUUACGCAGCAGAACCACACACAUCGAUCAAUAAGGGAACGAACCAACUGUUGGAAAUAUGCCCUAGAGGCAAUAAUAAAUUAGUUAUUAUUAUUAUAUUUCAUUGUUCAUGAUAAUCGUUUAUUAUCCAUGCUAGAAUUGUAUUAAUAGAAAACUCAGAUACAUGUGUGGAUACAUAGACAACACCAUGUCCCUAGUAAGCCUCUAGUUGACUAGCUCGUUAAUCAAUAGAUGGUUACGGUUUCCUGACCAUGGACAUUGGAUGUCAUUGAUAAUGGGAUCACAUCAUUAGGAGAAUGAUGUGAUGGACAAGAACCAAUCCUAAGCCUAGCACAAAGAUCGUGUAGUUCGUAUGCUAAAGCUUUUCUAAUGUCAAGUAUCAUUUCCUUAGACCAUGAGAUUGUGCAACUCCCGGAUACCGUAGGAAUGCUUUGGGUGUACCAAACGUCACAACAUAACUGGGUGGCUAUAAAUGUUCACUACAGGUAUCUCCGAAAGUGUCUGUUGGGUUGGCACGAAUCGAGACUGGGAUUUGUCACUCCGUGUAAACGGAGAGGUAUCUCUGGGCCCACUCGGUAGGACAUCAUCAUAAUGUGCACAAUGUGACCAAGGAGUUGAUCACGGGAUGUUGUGUUACGGAACGAGUAAAGAGACUUGCUGGUAACAAGAUUGAACAAGGUAUCGGGAUACCGACGAUCGAAUCUCGGGCAAGUAUCGUACCGAUAGACAAAGGGAAUUGUAUACGGGAUUGAUUGAAUCCUUUACAUCGUGGUUUAUCCGAUGAGAUCAUCGUGGAACAUGUAGGAGCCAACAUGGGUAUCCAGAUCCCGCUGUUGGUUAUUGACCGGAGAGUUGUCUCGGCCAUGUCUGCAUGACUCCCGAACCCGUAGGGUCUACACACUUAAGGUUCGAUGACGCUAGGGUUAUAGGGAAAGUAUGUACGCGGUUACCGAAUGUUGUUCGGAGUCCUGGAUGAGAUCCCGGAUGUCACGAGGAGUUCCGGAAUGAUCCGAAGGUAAAGAUUGAUAUAUAGGAAGUAUGGUUUUGGCCACCGGAAGUGUUCCGGGCAUCACCGGUAGUGUACCGGGACCACCGGAGGGGUCCGGGGGUCCGCCAGGUGGGGCCAGCGGCCCCGGAGGCAUACAUGGGCCAAGUGUGAGAAGGGACCAGCCCCUAGGUGGGCUGGGGCACCUCCCCACCAAGGCCCAUGUGCCUAGAGAAAAGAGGGGGCAAACCCUAAGGGCAAAUGGGCCCUAAGGCCCAUGCCUGGUGCGCCUCCCUCUCCCCCCUACUUGGCCGCCACCCGAAGAUGGGGAUUGGGGCUGCCGCCACCCCUAGGGUGGAAACCCUAGGUGGGGGCGCAGCCCUCCCUCUCCCCCUAUAUAUAGUGGAGGCAAAGGGGCAGCCCAACACACGAAGUUCUUCCCCUGCUGGCGCAGCCCCUCCCCUCUAAUACCUCUCCUCCUCCGCGUGAGCUUGGCGAAGCCCUGCCGGAGAACUGCCACUCCAUCACCACCACGCCGUCGUGCUGCUGUUGGACUCUCUUGCUCAACCUCUCCUUCCUCCUUGCUGGAUCAAGGCAUGGGAGACGUCUCCGUUCCGUACGUGUGUUGAACGCGGAGGUGUCGUCCGUUCGGCGCUAGGAUCAUCGGUGAUUUGGAUCACGACGAGUACGACUCCAUCAACCCCGUUCACUUGAACGCUUCCGCUUAGCGAUCUACAAGGGUAUGUAGAUGCACUAUCCUUCCCCUCGUUGCUAGAUUACUCCAUAGAUUGAUCUUGGUGAUGCGUAGAAAAUUUUAAAUUUCUGCUACGAUCCCCAACAGUGGCAUCAUGAGCUAGGUCUAUCCAUAGUUUCUAUGCACGAGUAGAACACAAAGCAGUUGUGGGCGUCGAUAUUGUCAAUUUAGUUGCCGUUACUAGUCUUAUCUUGAUUCGGCGACAUCGUGGGAUGAAGCGUCCCGGACCGACCUUACACGUACUCUUACGUGAGACUGGUUCCACCGACUGGCAUGCACUAGUUGCAUAAGGUGGCUAGCGGGUGUCUGUCUCUCCCACUUUAGUCGGAUCGGAUUCGAUGAAAAGGGUCCUUAUGAAGGGUAAAUAGAAAUUGGCAUAUCACAUUGUGGUUUUCGCGUAGGUAAGAAACGUUCUUGCUAGAAACCUAUAGCAGCCACGUAAAAACUUGCAACAACAAUUAGAGGACGUCUAACUUGUUUUUGCAGCAUAUGCCGUGUGAUGUGAUAUGGCCCAAAGGAUGUGAUGAAUGAUAUAUGUGAUAUAUGAGAUUGAUCAUGUUCUUGUAAUAGGAAUCACGACUUGCAUGUCGAUGAGUAUGACAACCGGCAGGAGCCAUAGGAGUUGUCUUAAUUUAUUUAUGACCUGCGUGUCAACUUAAAAGUCAUGUAAUUACUUUACUUAAUUGCUAAAGCGUUAGCCAUAGUAGUAGAAGUAAUAGAUGACAAGACAACUUCAAGAAGACACGAUGAUGAAGAUCAUGAUGAUGGAGAUCAUGGUGUCAUGCCGGUGAUAACGAUGAUCAUGGAGCCCCGAAGAUGGAGAUCAAAAGGAGCAAAAUGAUAUUGGCCAUAUCAUGUCACUAUUUGAUUGCAUGUGAUGUUUAUCAUGUUUUACAUCUUAUUUGCUUAGAACGACGGUAGCUUAAAUAAGAUGAUCCCUCUCUAAAAUUUCAAGAAAAGUGUUCCCCCUAACUGUGCACUGUUGCAAAGGUUCAUUGUUUCGAAGCACCACAUGAUGAUCGGGUGUGAUAGAUUCUAACAUUCGAAUACAACGGGUGUUGACGAGCCUAGCAUGUACAGACAUGGCCUCGGGACACACACGAAACACUUAGGUUGACUUGACGAGCCUAGCAUGUACGGACAUGGCCUCGGAACAUGGAAGACCAAAAGUUCGAACAUGAGUCGUAUAGAAGAUAUGAUCAACAUGAGAUGUUCACCGUUUAUGACUAGUCCGUCUCACGUGAUGAUCGGACACGGCCUAGUCGAUUUGGAUCAUGUUUCACUUAGAUGACUAGAGGGAUGUCUAUCUGAGUGGGAGUUCAUUAAAUAAUUUGAUUAGAUGAACUCAAUUAUCAUGAACAUAGUCUAAAUUGUCUUCGCAAAUAUGUUGUAGAUAAAUAGCUCACGUUGUAGCUCCCUGUUUCAAUACGUUCCUAGAGAAAGAUUAAGUUGAAAGAUAUUGUAAGAAAUGAUGCGGACUAGGUCCGUAGUCCGAGGAGUGUCCUCACUGCUACACGGAAGGCUUACGUCUUUGAUGCACCACUCGAUGUGCAAACCCCUACAACGUCGUCUGUGGAUGUUGUGAACACCUGACAGACACAUUCUGAUGACUACCUGAUAGUUUAGUGCACCAUACUUUACGGCUUAGAAUCGGGAUUCCAAUGACGUUUUGAACGCCAUAGAACAUAUGAGAUGUUCCAAGAGCUGAAAUUGGGAUUUCAGGCUCAUGCCCGUGUUGAGAGAUGUGAGACCUCUGACAAGUUCUUUAGCCAAUAAGAUGGAGGAGAAUAGCUCAGCUAGUGAGCAUGUGCUCAGAAUGUCUGGGUGCAACAAUCACUUAAAUCAAGUGGGAGUUAAACUUCCAGAUAAGAUAGUGAUUGAUAGAAUUCUCUAGCCACUAUCACUAAGCUACUAGAUCUUCGUGAUGAACUAUGACAUGCAAGGGAUGGAGUUGAUCCCGGAGCUGUUCGCGGUGCUUAAGACCGAAAAAGGUAGAAAUCAAGAAGGAGCAUCAAGUGUUGAUGGUUUGACAAGACCACUGGUUUCAAGAAGGGCAAGGGCCAGAAGGGAAACUUCAUGGAUGGCAAACCAGUUGCCGCUCCAGUGAAGGAACCCAAGGUUGAACCCGAACCCGAGACUAAGUGCUUCUAUUGUAAGGGGAACGGUCACUGGUAGCGGAAUUACCCCAAAUGCAUGGUAGAUAAGAAGGCUGGCAACUUCAAAGUAUAUACGUGUUAUUAAUGUGUACCUCACUAGUACUCCUGGUAGCACCUGGGUAUUGGAUACCGGUUCAGUUGCUAUUAUUGGUGACUUGAAACAAAAGCUACGGACUAAACGGAGACUGGCUAAGGGCGAGGUGACGAUGUGUGUUGGAAGUGUUUCCAAAGUUGAUGAGAUCACCAUCGCACGCUCCAUCUGCCUUCGGGAUUAGUAUUGAACCUAGAUAAAUGUUAUCAGGUGUCUAUGUUGAGCAUGAAUAUGAUUAGAUCAUGUUCAUUGCAAUACAGUUAUUCAUUUAAGUUAGAGAAUAUACACAUGUUCACGCCAAAAGAUGUAGAGUUAAUAAUGAUAGUACCACUUUGUUGUGGCACUGCCGCUUAGGUCAUAUUGGCGUAAGAUGCAUGAAGAAACUCCAUAUCGAUGGAUAUUUGGAGUCACUUGAUUUUGAAUCGCUUGACACAUGCGAGCCAUGCCUCAUGGGCAGGAUGACUAAGACCCCGUUUUCAGGUACAAUGAAAUGGGCAAGUGACUUGUUGGAAAUCAUACAUGCUCAUGCGUGUGAUCCAAUGAGAAUUGAAGCGUGCGGUGGAUAUCGCUAUUUUCUCAUCUUCACUGACGAUUUGAGUAGAUAUAGGUAUAUUUACUUAAUGAAGCACAAGUCUGAAACGUUUGAAAAGUUCAAGCGAUUUCAGAGUGAAGUUAAGAAUCAUCAUAACAAGAAAAUCAAAUUCCUACGAUCUGAUCAAUGAGAAUUUCUGAGUUAUGAGUUUGGCAAACACUUAAGACAUUGUGGAAUUGUUUCAUAGUUGAAGCCACCUAGAACACCACAGGGUAAUGGUGUGUCCGGACGUCGUAAUUGAAUCUUAUGAGAUAUGGUGCGAUCUAUGAUGUCUCUUACCGAUCUUCCGCUAUUAUUUUGAGGUUAUGCAUUAGAGACAGCUGCAUUCACUUUAGAUAGGACACCAUAUAAGUCCGUUGAGACGACGUCGUAUGAACAUUGGUUUGGCAAGAAACCAAAGUUGUCGUUUCUUAAUGUUUGGGGCUGCGAUGCUUAAGGCUUCAGCCGGAGAAGCUCCAACCCAAAGCGGACAAACACAUCUUCAUAGGAUACCCAAAGGUGACAGUUGGGUACACCUUCUAUCUCAGAUCCGAUGGCAAAUUGUCUGUCACUAAGAAAGGGUCCUUUCUCGAGAAGGAGUUUCUCUCGAAAGAAUUGAGUGGGAGGAAGAUAGAACUUGAUGAGGUUGUCGAACCUUUACUUCAACCAGAGAGUGAUGCAACAUAGAAAGAUGUUUUCUAUGGCGCCUACGUCUGUUGAAUAGGAAGUUAAUGAUAGUGAUCAUGAAGCUUCGGAUCAAGUUGCUAUCGAACCUCGUAGGUCGACAAGGAUAUGUACUACUCCUGAGUGGUACGGUAAUCCUGUCUUAGAUAUCAUGUUGUUAGACAACAAUGAACCUACGAGCUAUGGAGAAGCGAUGGUGGGCCCGUAUUCCCACAAAUGGUUAGAAGCCAUGAAAUCCGAGAUAGGAUCCAUGUAUCAGAACAAAGUAUGGACUUUGGUGGACUUGCCUGAUGAUCAGCGAGCCAUUGAGAUAAAUGGAUCUUUAGGAAGAAGACGGACGUGGGUGGUAAUGUUACCGUCUAUGAAGCUCGACUUGUGGGAAAGAGUCUUUUCACAAGUUCAAGGAGUUUACUACGAUGAGAAUUUCUCACCCGUAGCGAUGCUUAAGUCCGUCGGAAUCAUGUUAGCAUUAGCUGUAUUUUUCGAUUAUGAAAUCUGACAGAUGGAUGUCAAAAACCAGUUUUCAUAAGAAAAAGUUGUGUGUGAUACAAUAAAAGGUUUUUGUCAAUCCUAAGGAUGCUAAAAGGUAUGCUGGCUCCAACAAUCCUUCUAUGGACUAGAGCAAGCAUCUCGGAGUCGGAAUAUAUGCUUUGAUGGAGUGAUCAAAGCUUUUAGGUUUAUACAAUGUUUGCUAGAAACUUGUAUUUACAAGAAAGUGAGUGGGAGCACUUCAACAUUUCUGAUAAGUAUAUGUGGAUGACAUAUUGUUGAUCUGAAAUAAUGUAGAAUUUCUAGAAAGCAUAAACGGUUGUUUGAAGAGUGAUUUUCAAAGGAAGACCUGGAUAAAGAUGCUUACAUAUUGGGCAUCAAGAUCUAUAGAGAUAGAUCAAGACACCUGAUGAUACUUUCAAAGAACGCACACCUUGACAUGUUUUUGAAGGAGUUCAAAAUAGAUCAGUCAAAGAAGGGGUUCUUACCUGAGUUGUAAGGUGUGAAGUUGAGUAAGACUCAAAGAUUGACCAUGGCAGAAGAAAUAGGAAGGACGAAGGUCGUCCCCUAUGCUCUUGUCAUAGGCUCUAUCCGGUAUGCCAUGCUGAGUACUGCACCUGAUGUGUGCCUUGCCACAUGUCUGGCAAGAGGGUACAAAGGUGAUCUAGGAGUAGAUCACCAGAUAGCGGUCAAAAUUAUCCUUAGAGGAAUAAGGAAAUGUUUCUCGGUUAUGGAGGUGAUAAAGAGUUCGACGUAAAGAGUUACGUUGAUGCAAGCUUAACACCUAUCCGGAUAGCUCUGAGUAGAGAUACCGGAUACGUAUAAUGGAGCAACAAUUUGGAAUAGCUCCAAGUGGAACGUGGUAGCAGCAUCUAUGAUUUGACAUAAAGUUUUGCGAAAUACAUAGGGAUCUGAAUAUGGCAAGACCCGUUGACUACAACCUCUCUCACAAGCAUAACAUGAUCAAACCUAGAACUCAUUGAGUGUUAAUCACAUAGUGAUGUGAACUAGAUUAUUGAGUCUAGUAAACUCUUCGGAUGUUGGUCACAUGGCGAUGUGACCUGUGAGUGUUAAUCACAUGGCGAUGUGAACUAGAUUAUUGACUCUAGUGCAAGUGGGAGACUGUUGGAAAUAUGCCCUAGAGGCAAUAAUAAAUUAGUUAUUAUUAUUAUUAUAUUUCAUUGUUCAUGAUAAUCGUUUAUUAUCCAUGCUAGAAUUGUAUUGAUAGGAAACUCAGAUACAUGUGUGGAUACAUAGACAAAACCAUGUCCCUAGUAAGCCUCUAGUUGACUAGCUUGUUGAUCAAUAGAUGGUUAUGGUUUCCUGACCAUGGACAUUGGAUGUCGUUGAUAAUGGGAUCACAUCAUUAGGAGAAUGAUGUGAUGGACAAGACCUAAUCCGAAGCCUAGCACAAAGAUCGUGUAGUUCGUAUGCUAAAGCUUUUCUAAUGUCAAGUAUCAUUUCCUUAGACCAUGAGAUUGUGCAACUCCCGAAUACCGUAGGAAUGCUUUGGGUGUACCAAACGUCACAAUGUAACUGGGUGGCUAUAAAGGUUCACUACGGGUAUCUCCGAAAGUGUCUGUUGGGUUGGCACGAAUCGAGACUGGGAUUUGUCACUCCGUGUAAAUGGAGAGGUAUCUCUGGGCCCACUCGGUAGGACAUCAUCAUAAUGUGCACAAUGUGACCAAGGAGUUGAUCACGGGAUGAUGUGUUACGGAACGAGUAAAGAGACUUGCCGGUAACGAGAUUGAACAAGGUAUCGGGAUACCGACGAUCGAAUCUCGGGCAAGUAUCGUACCGAUAGACAAAGGGAAUUGUAUACGGGAUUGAUUGAAUCCUUGACAUCGUGGUUCAUCCGAUGAGAUCAUCGUGGAACAUGUAGGAGCCAACAUGAGUAUCCAGAUCCCGCUGUUGGUUAUUGACCGGAGAGUUGUCUCGGCCAUGUCUGCAUGACUCCCGAACCCGUAGGGUCUACACACUUUAAGGUUCAAUGACGCUAGGGUUAUAGGGAAAGUAUGUACACGGUUACCGAAUGUUGUUCGGAGUCUCGAAUGAGAUCCUGGACAUCAUGAGGAGUUCCGGAAUGGUCCGGAGGUAAAGAUUGAUAUAUAGGAAGUAUGGUUUUGGCGACCAGAAGUGUUCCGGGUGUCACCGGUAGUGUACCGGGACCACCGGAGGGGUCCGGGGGUCCACCAGGUGGGGCCAGCGGCCCCGGAGGCAUACAUGGGCCAAGUGUGAGAAGGGACCAGCCCCUAGGUGGGCUGGGGCGCCUCCCCACCAAGGAACAUGCGCCUAGAGAGAAGAGGGGGCAAACCCUAAGGGCAAAUGGGCCCUAAGGCCCAUGCCUGGUGCGCCUCCCUCUCCCCCCCACUUGGCCGCCACCCCAAGAUGGGGAUUGGGGCUGCCGCCACCCCUAGGGUGGAAACCCUAGGUGGGGGAGCAGCCCUCCCUCUCCCCCUAUAUAUAGUGGAGGCAAAGGGGCAGCCAACACACGAAGUUCUUCCCCUGCUGGCGCAGCCCCUCCCCUCCAAUACCUCUUCUCCUCCACGUGAGCUUGGCGAAGCCCUGCCGGAGAACUGCCACUCCAUCACCACCACGCCGUCGUGCUGCUGUUGGACUCUCUUCCUCAACCUCUCCUUCCUCCUUGCUGGAUCAAGGCGUGGGAGACGUCUUCGUUCCGUACGUGUGUUGAACGCGGAGGUGCCGUCCGUUCAGCGCUAGGAUCAUUGGUGAUUUGGAUCACGACGAGUACGACUCCAUCAACCCCGUUCACUUGAACGCUUCCGCUUAGCGAUCUACAAGGGUAUGUAGAUGCACUCUCCUUCCCCUCAUUGCUAGAUUACUCCAUAGAUUGAUCUUGGUGAUGCGUAGAAAAUUUUAAAUUUCUGCUACGAUCCCCAACACCAACCAACGCGCUCCAAACGAGACCAUGUAAGGGGGAAUCGGACGAACCUGGUGGUCGGGGACCUCGCGAAUGUUUCUCACAUCCUGACCAAACCAAACAGUACCAAAACUAAACAGAAACGGCGUCAGCGGGAGCAGGAGGAGGAGGAGCAAGCGAUGUGUGCGAUGGAGAAGGGCGUUGCAGUACCUGGAACCGGGCGGGGAAGGCGGUGGAGAUGGCGCCGCCGAAGAGGGGGCGCCUGGUGCUACUCUCGCCGGCCAUCUUGACAAGGGAGUCCCGUGACUAGACAGCAAAACAAGGUUCUGGAGCGUGGGAGAAGACGGGGGUGGGGGAGAGAGCCGGAGAGGGUCGGGCGGGUUCGUGAUUCGAGCGAGUUUAGGCUAGUUGUAAUGUAUCAUACUCCAGUAUCAUGCAUGCAUGCCAACUACUCCCUCCAUUCCUAUCCGUUCCUAAAUAUAAGUCUUUGUAGAGAUUCCACUAGAUGGACUACAUACGGAGCAAAAUGAAUGAAUCUACACUUAAAAUGCAUCUAUAUGCAUCCGAAUGUGGUUCAUAGUGGAAGCUCUACAAAGACAUACAUUUAGGAACGGAGGGAAUAGACAAUUUUGAUGAGGUGUCGUUGAAUUAAAUAGAGAAAGAGAGGAUUGAGUAUCAUAUCAUGAUAGCGUAUCAUAAUAAAUGCUAUGCUACUAGGAGUAUGUGUCAUACAUGGCAAUAAAUAAAGUACUACAUGAUACUUCCUCUGUUCACAAAUAUAAAACGUUCUAGACUGACCAUACAAGUCUCUAAAACGUCUUAUAUUUAUGAAUAGAGGGAGUAAUAGUAUAUGAUACUCCCUCCAUUCCUAAAUAUUUGUCUUUGUAGACAUUUCAACAAGUGACUACAUACAGAGCAAAAUGAGUAAAUCUAUACUCUAAAAUAUGUCUAUAUACAUCCGUAUGUGAUAGUUCAUUUGACAUCUCUAAAAAGACAAAUAUUUAGGAACAAAGGGAGGUAGUAUUAUACACCAGUACCAUAUGCAUUAUACAAGUAUAUGGAUUGAGUAUAUGAUACUCCCAUUGCAACCAGCCUUAUAAGCGGCCAUGGGUGGUUUUGCCAAUGUGGCGCCUGACGAGUGGGACCAAGACCGGUUCGACCCAGCUAGCUCCUUCAUCUGCUUCGAGCCUUCGACCCACCCAGCCUCUGUCUUCGCGCCCCCCUCAGUUCUCUCCCUGACGACGACGGCCGCGGGACGGACGGCGAUCAGCGGCAUUAACUGAGCGUUGGGAGCCGGCGACACGUGCAGGUUCGUAACCACAUCCGAUUCUGUGUGAGAAGUGAACCACUAUGUGCUUGAUUACUCUGUUCUAAGUAGGGUUUUGGGGGAUUUCAAAAUCAACAGAGAUGGUCGUUUUCUUCUUGUUUUCAUUCAUUCAGUGGUGCAUCUGGUUAGUGCGGCCGUGCGGGAAGCCAUGGUUUUGUUUUGGUUUAGGGUCAGCUGACUCUUAUGGCUGGUUUGGUUUUAAUAACUGAACUAAAAGGGGGUAUUAGCCAUGGAUCCGCUGGACUAUCUGUGCAUCAGGUUUCAGUUCAGAGGACAAUUUGAACAUGAUGGAACAGAUCAACAGAGUGGCAGCAUGUGAAUGGAAUACAAGGCGUGUAGGCGUGUACAUUUAAGUUACGGGUGCGCAGGACGGGGGGACCUGUAUUUUUAUCCCAUAGCAGAGAAAAUAGAAUCUCCGUCUGAAGCUUGCUCGCGCGACAUUUUAACUUAAAUUUUUAGUCCUAUACCGGAUAGCGAGUAACAGUUGAACGUACUUAAAAGGAGGAAAGAUGGGUACCAUUUCAGAAAGUAGAUUAACAGGUGAAUGCUCUCUCGCUAUUACAUUGUAUUCAAGGGUUAGGUAGGGUGCGUGUAGGCGUGUACAGUUAAGUUAUGCGUGCACAGGACGGGGGGACCUAUAUUUUUAUCUCAUAGUAGAGAAAAUAGGAUCUCCGUCUGAAGCUUUAGUGGCAAUUUAAGGAAACGCCCGAGAACAACGUUUCUGGCGAAUCUGGAAAUGCCAGAUCUUGCAGGCGAAUGCCUCGAUUGGCCUUUCCAUUCGCGACCAAUUCUAGCAUUUUUGGGAAACGCUAAUAAAAACAUUCAGAGGCAUUUUUGCGUCCUACAGAGGCGUUUUAGAAUGCCUCGUAAUGUCGUCCGUGCUGUAGUGCUUAUGGCUGGUUUGGUUUUAAUAACUGAACUAAAAGGGGGUAUUAGCCAUGGAUCCGCUGGACUAUCUGUGCAUCAGGUUUCAGUUCAGAGGACAAUUUGAACAUGAUGGAACAGAUCAACAGAGUGGCAGCAUGUGAAUGGAAUACAAGGCGUGUAGGCGUGUACAAUUAAGUUACGGGUGCGCAGGACGAGGGGACCUGUAUUUUUAUCCCAUAGCAGAGAAAAUAGGAUCUCCGUCUGAAGCUUGCUCGUGCGACAUUUUAACUUAAAUUUUUAGUCCCAUACCGGAUAGCGAGUAACAGUUGAACGUACUUAAAAGGAGGAAAGAUGGGUACCAUUUCAGAAAGCAGAUUAACAGGUGAAUGCUCUCUUGCUAUUACAUUGUAUUCAAGGGUUAGGUAGGGUGCGUGUAGGCAUGUACAGUUAAGUUACGGGUGCGCAGGACAGGGGGACCUGUAUUUUUAUCCCAUAGUAGAGAAAAUAGUAUCUCCGUCUGAAGCUUUAGUGGCAAUUUAAGGAAACGCCCGAGAACAACGUUUCUGGCGAAUCUGGAAAUGCCAGAUCUUGCAGGCGUUAUGGAAAAAUGCCUCAAUUGGCCUUUCCCUUCGCGACCAAUUCUAGCAUUUUUGGGAAACGCUAAUAAAAACAUUCAGAGGCAUUUUUGCGUCCUACAGAGGCGUUUUAGAAUGCCUCGUAAUGUCGUCCGUGCUGUAGUGCUUAUGGCUGGUUUGGUUUUAAUAACUGAACUAAAAGGGGGUAUUAGCCAUGGAUCCGCUGGAUUAUCUGUGCAUCAGGUUUCAGUUCAGAGGACAAUUUGAACAUGAUGAAACAGAUCAACAGAGUGGCAGCAUGUGAAUGGAAUACAAGGCCUUUCAACACUCGAGCACCACAAGGUUAGCCUUGAAGAGCUUAAGAAAAAACUUAACAUGUGUCUUGUUCAGAUAAGCAACUGCAGGAAACCAAUUUGCAUUGAAAGUUCUAUGGGCUGAUUAGAGAUGGCCAAAUCACUAGUGCUCUGGUGACAUGAUCAACAAUCUGUCCUGGAGAUGGCCAAACAUGUCAAGGCCUCAACGGGAUCGCUCCGGGUGCCCACCCCCAAACGUGUCUGUGGUCGACCUCGUGGUGCAGGUCUCCAAGAACACCCUCGACGAGGAGCUGAACCAGGCGUUCCACGACGGCGCGGCCAACGAGCUCAAUGCCAUCCUCGACGUCGGCCAUGAGCCGCUCGUGUCCAUUGAUUUCAGGUGCUCCGACGUGUCCUCCACCAUCAACGCGUCGCUCAGCAUGGUCAUGGGAGACGACAUGGUAAGGUCAUUGCAUGGUACGACAACGAGUGGGGUUACUCCUAGAGGGUCAUCGACCUCGCCGACACCGUCGCCAACCAAUGGAAGUAAACGCCGGACAGCGGCAUUGCCCUGUGAAGUGACUCCUCUCAAAAUUUUCCCCAGCCAUCGUCACAGAUGAUCGAUUCU